This is a long non-coding RNA of Sphaerodactylus townsendi, 573 nucleotides long. RefSeq lists it as uncharacterized. The transcript has 2 exons. The record is from RefSeq and is a predicted model, not a curated record. Lineage: Eukaryota; Metazoa; Chordata; Lepidosauria; Squamata; Sphaerodactylidae.
GAAUGAUGCACUUUCAAUCCGCUUUCACAAUUGUUUGCAAGUGGAUUUUGCUAUUCCGCACAGCUGCAAGGUGGAUUGAAAGUGCUUUAUUCUCCAUGUGCGGAAGGGGCCAACAUUUGAAAGUGGGUGGCGUUUCAGAAAGACUGAGAAACUCCUGUGAUAAGGAUUCGUUCAGCAGUCCCUAACAGCAGAAAACAUUCCCUGAAAGAUAACUUGCUCCAGAGACUCGGCUGUCUGGACCAGAAUGGAUGCUUUGUUCUCAGGGAUCGGAUGUGCCACCCCAAAGACCUGCACGCCCCAGAAUUUCUGCGGUCCUUUAAGAUUCUGACAGCAGACGUCCCCCUGAAGUUAGAACGCUACUGCCGAAGCUGCUUUCAUCUUGACUGUUCAGGCAAAAAAACCUGGUACUUUUGUAGUUUAAAGGCGGUUUUGGUGCAGGUUGCCUGAUUUGUGCUUGCUGUUUUCUUCAAAUGUAGCUCUUAUCUCUGUGCUACUUCUCUGAACAUGGUAUGUAAUCUCAACUUGAAAUAUUUAUUGUUUUGACUUUGUUAAUAAAUGGACAGGUGAGUCAUA